UUUUCACUCACUGUUUUUGUUUGCCUAAUUGGAACGGGGAUUUCUUGAAGCAGGAGUGUCUAGUGUUUAUCAUUCAUGCACACCCAGAAGACUGAGAACAACAUGACUGACUGCCAGAGGAGGCAAGCCAAGACCUCCAGGCAUUAGAGAGCAGCUGUGAUGGAGCCAGAAGUGAGGAGGCAGCCACCAAGCUCUGCACCAGCCACUACACCAACAAAUAUGUCCCCGGCAGUCUGCAUGUCCUCCCCGCGGUUGAGU
Long non-coding RNA from Protopterus annectens (West African lungfish), 258 nucleotides. RefSeq lists it as uncharacterized. The record is from RefSeq and is a predicted model, not a curated record. Lineage: Eukaryota; Metazoa; Chordata; Ceratodontiformes; Protopteridae. The transcript is spliced from 3 exons.